RNAcentral lists this ribosomal RNA (393 nucleotides) under uncultured bacterium. RNAcentral describes it as "partial 16S ribosomal RNA". It matches the Rfam family "Bacterial small subunit ribosomal RNA", at positions 523 to 918 of the family's 1533-position model. The record is from RNAcentral.
AUACGGAGGAUGCAAGCGUUAUCCGGAUUUAUUGGGUUUAAAGGGUGCGUAGGCGGAUGAUUAAGCGUGAGGUGAAAUGCCACUGCUCAACAGUGGAACUGCCUCGCGAACUGGUUGUCUUGAAUGCUCCUGCCGUGGGAGGAAUGUGUGGUGUAGCGGUGAAAUGCAUAGAGAUCACACAGAACACCGAUUGCGAAGGCAUCUCACGAAGGGGUGAUUGACGCUGAGGCACGAAAGCGUGGGGAUCAAACAGGAUUAGAUACCCUGGUAGUCCACGCAGUAAACGAUGAUGGCUAACCGCUGGGCUUAUCAGUUCAGUGGCCAAGCGAAAGCGAUAAGCCAUCCACCUGGGGAGUACGACCGCAAGGUUGAAACUCAAAGGAAUUGACGGGG